AGAGUUUGAUCCUGGCUCAGGAUGAACGCUGGCGGUGUGCUUAACACAUGCAAGUCGAACGAAACUUUUUAAAUAAUUCUUCGAAGUUAUUUAAUAAUGUUUAGUGGCAGACGGCUGAGUAAUACAUUGGUACCCACCCUAAAGUGGGGGAUAGCUCAUUGAAAAAUGGGGUAAUCCCGCAUGUGCUCUACGGAGUAAAGCUUCGGCGCUUUAGGAGGGGCCUUUGUCCUAUCAGUUAGUUGGUGAGGUAAUGGCUUACCAAGACUAUGACGGGUAGCUGGAUCGAGAGGUCGACCAGCCAGACUGGGACUGAGACACGGCCCAGACUCCUACGGGAGGCAGCAGUGAGGAAUUUUCCGCAAUGGGCGAAAGCCUGACGGAGCGACACCGCGUGAAGGAUGACGGUUUUCGGACUGUAAACUUCUUUUAUAUGUGAAGAUUAUGACGGUAGCAUAUGAAUAAGGACCGGCUAACUACGUGCCAGCAGCCGCGGUAAUACGUAGGGUCCAAGCGUUAUUCGGAUUUACUGGGCGUAAAGCGUGCGUAGGCGGCUAUAUAAGUUAGAUGUUAAAUCUAUGGGCUCAACUCAUAGGCUGCAUCUAAUACUGUAUAGCUCGAGAGUGGAAGAGGCAGACGGAAUUUCUAGUGGAGCGGUAAAAUGCGUAGAUAUUAGAAGGAACACCAAUGGCGAAGGCAGUCUGCUGGGCCAUUUCUGACGCUAAGGCACGAAAGCGUGGGGAGCGAUCGGGAUUAGAUACCCCGGUAGUCCACGCCGUAAACGAUGGAUACUAGCUUUUUGGGGUAUCGACCCCUUGAGAAGCGAAGCUAACGCGUUAAGUAUCCCGCCUGGGGAGUACGGUCGCAAGACUAAAACUCAAAGGAAUUGACGGGGACCCGCACAAGCGGUGGAACAUGUGGUUUAAUUCGACGCUAAGCGAAAAACCUCACCAAGGUUUGACAUACCAAUCGUAUCCCUAAGAAACUAGGGAGUCAGUUAGGCUGGAUUGGAUACAGGUGUUGCAUGGUCGUCGUCAGCUCGUGUCGUGAGAUGUCGGGUUAAGUCCUUUAACGAGCGCAACCCUCGUCGUAUGUUAUUUUUCAUGCGAGACUGCCCUGGUUAACGGGGAGGAAGGUGGGGAUGACGUCAGAUCAGCAUGGCCCUUACACCUUGGGCUACACACGUGUUACAAUGGCUAGAACAGUAGGUCGCAAUACCGUAAGGUGGAGCUAAUCCCUAAAUCUAGUCCCAGUUCGGAUAGUGGGCUGAAACUCGCCCACUUGAAGUUGGAAUCGCUAGUAACCGUAAAUCAGCACGUUACGGUGAAUACGUUCCCGGGUCUUGUACACACCGCCCGUCACACCACGAAAGACAGAGACGCCCGAUACCCGCGUAGCGGUUUAAGGUGGAGCUGUUGAUUGGGGUGAAGUCGUAACAAGGUAACCGUACUAGUACGAAG
This 1457-nucleotide ribosomal RNA is filed under the name metagenome. Its description in RNAcentral is "bacterial SSU rRNA". It matches the Rfam family "Bacterial small subunit ribosomal RNA". The record is from RNAcentral.